ACAGCUGUUUCAAGACACAUGUAAGGUAGAUUCUUUCUUGAACAUUAUUGGAUCUUUGUAACUUUCUGGUAUAUCUUCGUCUUUGCCCGAUUAAAUAUAUAGUUAAUCGAGACAAUCGUUGCUGCCAAGCUUGUUUUUCGACUUUUGGAACCUUUUCUGCGGCGCCUUGGACAAUUUUCGUUAUUCGGGAUAAGCCCAGUUUUGUAUGGCAUUCCAGUCAGCAAGUUUUAGUUGUGGUACUAAAAUUCGUCUUUCAGAAGCUUGGCCGUAUAUUUGGCAUGUGAUGGGAACAUGAUCCGAUUGGAGCUCACCUGGAUGUGUCUCAAGCGGUGAAAUAUUAAUGCUGGAAUUUGUUAAUAAAAUGUCAACAACUGAUGGGCGCUUCGCCAAUGUUCCCUGUGGAUAUCUGGUGAAUUCUGUAGGCGCAUAGAUGUAAAAAUUCGAUUGAAGUUGAUUAUUGAAUAAACAGUUUCCGGCAGAAUUGUUGUGGAAACAAUUCCAGCUUUUA
Stomoxys calcitrans (stable fly) is the source of this 508-nucleotide long non-coding RNA. RefSeq lists it as uncharacterized. Lineage: Eukaryota; Metazoa; Arthropoda; Insecta; Diptera; Muscidae. The record is from RefSeq and is a predicted model, not a curated record. The transcript is spliced from 2 exons.